UUCCUACGGGAGGCAGCAGCAGGGAAUAUUGCGCAAUGAGCGAAAGCUUGACGCAGCGACACCGCGUGUGGGAUGACGGAUCUAGGUUUGUAAACCACUUUCAGGAGGGAAGGAAAUGACGGCACCUCCACAAGAAGCCCCGGCCAACUACGUGCCAGCAGCCGCGGUAAUACGUAGGGGGCGAGCGUUGUCCGGAUUUAUUGGGCGUAAAGAGCUCGUAGGCGGUUCAACAAGUCGGUCGUAAAAGUUCAGGGCUCAACCCUGAAAUGUCGAUCGAUACUGUUGUGACUAGGAUACGGUAGAGGUGAGUGGAAUUCCGAGUGUAGCGGUGAAAUGCGUAGAUAUUCGGAGGAACACCAAUUGCGAAGGCAGCUCACUGGGCCGCUAUCGACGCUGAGGAGCGAAAGCUAGGGGAGCAAACAGGAUUAGAUACCCUGGUAGUCCUAGCUGUAAACGAUGGAUACUAGACGUAGGAACUGGAUUGACGGUUUCUGUGUCGUAGCUAACGCGUUAAGUAUCCCGCCUGGGGAGUACGGUCGCAAGACUAAAACUCAAAGGAAUUGACGGAAU
RNAcentral lists this ribosomal RNA (570 nucleotides) under uncultured bacterium. Its description in RNAcentral is "bacterial SSU rRNA". It matches the Rfam family "Bacterial small subunit ribosomal RNA", at positions 336 to 919 of the family's 1533-position model. The record is from RNAcentral.